Populus trichocarpa (black cottonwood) is the source of this 931-nucleotide RNA transcript. RefSeq lists it as uncharacterized. The transcript has 2 exons. Lineage: Eukaryota; Viridiplantae; Streptophyta; Magnoliopsida; Malpighiales; Salicaceae. The record is from RefSeq and is a predicted model, not a curated record.
CACUUGCUAACACUUGACUCACUCACAUCGACGCAAAAUGGAAGACGAUACGGGAGUGAAAUCGAGCAUUGUGAUCGGCCUCAUAGAGAAAUUCACUAUUUCGCAUUGUGAUCGGCCUCAUAGGUAUGGUUGGAAUGGCUGGUUUUGAUUUAAGGUCAGCCUCACUGCAUCUUUCUCAGUAUAGUGAAACUAGCAAGCAGCUCGUAUCAGAAUACAAAAUCUUUGCUCCAAUUUUAUGAUCCUGUGGUCGUCGUUGUUCCUCCUAAUAAAUAUGCGCCUGAUGGUAUGGUCGGAAUUUCAGAGCUGGUAGAUCAAUUUUAUGCUUCAGUCAAGAAAGUCAACCUCUUUAACAAGUUAGAAAUUUUUCAUGCUGCUUCCUUUAUCUCUGUUCAUGCACCGAUUUCAUGGUAUUAUGUGCUGAAUUUUGUAGGUUCUAAUGGCCUGUGGUUGCUUUGAUGACACCAAGGUUGUAGCUGGGAAACAUCUCAUUCUUUAACUGGUGUUUUACUUCUGGGUACUGGUGCUUGAAUAUUUGAUACACCGCCAUUGUCAUAUGAUGUUCCAGGGUGCUGUACUGGUUAAAAAUCUAGCAGCCAAAGAGCCUUCAGCUCAUGGUUUGGAUGCUUACUACAAGCAAUAUUAUCCCUGCUUGUCUGCUGCUGCAGCUACAAUCAAGUGGUACUCUCAGAACUUUGGCUUGCCUCAAAUUUGACUGGAAGAAAAGAUUUCAAUCUUAGAUUUAGUUUGCAUGCCACAAUGCCAUACUAGAGGUUAAAUCUUAAGUAAUUAGUCAUUAACUACUCAAAUCAGGUAAAAGUCUUCUCGAUAGUUUGGUUAAAUAUCAAAUAAGUGAGUGUUGUUAUGUUGAAAUUUUUAUUUUUUAGAACCAAGUUUUUUCAAAAAGCUAAAGAAACUGUACUGUUUCAUGAAC